This 915-nucleotide ribosomal RNA is filed under the name Triticum aestivum (bread wheat). RNAcentral describes it as "partial small subunit ribosomal RNA". Lineage: Eukaryota; Viridiplantae; Streptophyta; Magnoliopsida; Poales; Poaceae. The record is from RNAcentral.
AUGCUUCUGCUGACGGUUUCAACGACACUCCCAUGGAUGAUGCAAUCAUCCAACCACGGUGAGAUUCACCGUAUCACCGUCUAUGUUGGACUGUAUCUUACAGCCCUUGGCAACGGUGGCAUCAAGCCCUGCACCUCCCCUUUUGGCGCUGACCAGUUUGACAUCACGGACACGAUGGAGCGGGUGAAGAAGGGCUCAUUCUUCAAUUGGUUCUACUUCUUGAACACUAUUGGCUCCCUUUUGUCGACCACUGUGAUCAUCUGGGUGCAAGACAAUGUUGGGUGGGGGAUCGGCUUUGCGAUCCCCAUGAUCCUCACGAGUCUUAGUUUCAUGGUGUUCAUCGCAAGUAGGAGGAUGUACAGAUACAAGUCAAAAGGAGAAAGUCCCAUGACAACAGCUUCCCAGGUUGUUGUUGCAGCUGCAAGAAAUCGCCAUCUGAAGUUGCCUGAGGAUUGCACAACCUUGCAUUACCCGCCUUCAUCACCAUCGGAGGCUACAUUCAGUGUUCAGCAUACCACUCAGUUCAGAUUUUUGGACAAGGCUGCCAUUGUAUCACCAUCGACACAGGAGAAGAAAGGUGUGGCGACGAGCCCAUGGAGGCUAUGCACACUCUCUCAUGUUGAAGAGGUGAAGAUGCUGCUACGUCUGUGCCCUGCAUGGGCGUCUUUGCUGGUCUUCUUCAUGAUCACGGCACAGAUGUCGUCGACGGUGAUUGAGCAGGGUAUGGCAAUGGACAACCGCGUGGGGUCAUUCGCCGUGCCACCGGCCUCCCUCGCCAGCUUCAAUGUGGUUACCACACUUGUAUUGAUCCCCAUAUAUGAAGUCGUGCUAGUGCCCCUGGCUCGGCGCGCCACUGGCGAGGACCGAGGUCUCACACAACCGCAGCGCCUUGGCGUCGGUCUCACGUUGUUGUGA